GGUACCUGGCACUGCGUGUCUAUAUUUGCGGCCAGUGAGUAGCUCUUACUCUGGGUAUAUCUAUUACUGCGAAUUUCUGUUUACUGUGUUGAAUCUGUAAACGUGCCUGUUACUUUAAUGUGAGUAUCCAUUACCUGUGGGUUUCUGGACCGGCAUAUCCUUGUGUGUGUGUGUGUGAGACAUUAUCGUGUGGCAUUCCACCAGCUUCCCUCCCAAUGGCAGUUCCGGGGAAGGCUGUGUUCCUGACUGGAGCAGGACAAAGACACUUUUCCCCUGGAAAUGGUCCGUGUGUUGAGCUGGGAAGGGUAAUUGCAGGUAAUUUCUUUGUUUACCGUGAUCCAGGUUCCCGGGUAGGAAGCUGUGCCAAGCGAUGCCUCGGUCGCCGUGGUUACGGCUGGCAGCUCCCAGUGACUCAUGGCCCCAGAAGCAGCAGGAGGCCUCGCCGGCGAACUUCUCCGGGCUGGGAGCUGCUGCCAUUUCGCAACGCCCGCAGGGACAGACAGCAUGGCGGCACCAGGAAUCUGCGGCCACCUCUGGGCCCGCUGGAAGAACAGGAGGACAACCGAACAGGGAGAGGAAAUGGAGCAGAAACGUGGAGGGAAGGAAAGAAGGAUAGGUAGGGAAGAGGGAAGGAAAGACGAAAGGUCCAAGAGGGAAGUGGCCGAGGGGAAGGGAGGAGGGAAGAGGGGGUGAUCACACACAGUGAACACUCAAUAAAUA
Molecule: long non-coding RNA, 720 nt
Filed under: Ornithorhynchus anatinus (platypus)
Lineage: Eukaryota; Metazoa; Chordata; Mammalia; Monotremata; Ornithorhynchidae
Description: lncRNA (ENSOANG00000038076.1)
Source: RNAcentral